RNAcentral lists this ribosomal RNA (502 nucleotides) under uncultured bacterium. Its description in RNAcentral is "partial 16S ribosomal RNA". It matches the Rfam family "Bacterial small subunit ribosomal RNA", at positions 30 to 523 of the family's 1533-position model. The record is from RNAcentral.
AUUGAACGCUGGCGGAAUGCUUUACACAUGCAAGUCGAACGGCUGCACGGGUGCUUGCACCUGGUGGCGAGUGGCGAACGGGUGAGUAAUAUAUCGGAACGUACCCAUUAAUGGGGGAUAACAUAUCGAAAGAUGUGCUAAUACCGCAUACGCCCUGAGGGGGAAAGCGGGGGAUCUUAGGACCUCGCGUUAUUGGAGCGGCCGAUAUCGGAUUAGCUAGUUGGUGGGGUAAAGGCCCACCAAGGCGACGAUCCGUAGCUGGUCUGAGAGGACGACCAGCCACACUGGAACUGAGACACGGUCCAGACUCCUACGGGAGGCAGCAGUGGGGAAUUUUGGACAAUGGGGGAAACCCUGAUCCAGCCAUUCCGCGUGAGUGAAGAAGGCCUUCGGGUUGUAAAGCUCUUUCGCAAGGGAAGAAAACUUACAUUCUAAUAAAGUGUGAGGCUGACGGUACCUUGAUAAGAAGCACCGGCUAACUACGUGCCAGCCGCCGCAGUAA